UCCUCAUUGUCCCGCCUUUAGCGUCCAUCAAGAGGCCAGUGCAUAACACGAUGCCCCAGAUACGUCGACCAUUGAUAGAUCCCUUGUUUUUCGACGAUCGGAUUGCGCCCAUCACUCAUCCCCAUCAAAUCACAAACUGAAGUAAGCGCGCAAAUAACAGCUUUUGAAUCGCUGGGCAGUGUCCUGUCGACUGUCUUCAUCAUGCCAGAUCCAUAAUACGCAUGCAACAUGCAUAAAUGGGCGUACCUACCUGUGUCUCAACAAAGAGCCCCUUGCCAUCCAGGCUGGCGGCAGAGGAGGUCGACUUGGGCAUCUCGUCAGGGUCUGUGUCUUCUCCGGAUCCUUCAACAAGGCCUACGGUCCCAAUGGGAACAGGCUUGCCAAGGAAUGGAUGGAGCACCAGGUCUGCCAUAGGUUGACCAUUAGGAGCUAUAUGGAUGGGGCUGAGGCAAUUUAUCUCCCCCGAAAGCUGCUCAAUGUGACUUAUGUGCCCAGGGCGUGCCACACAAGAGAGGUCGCCAAGAUAUCCAUCACCCACCUCACCAUGAUCCUCCGACAUCUCAAGAAAUCUCUCACCCACUUCAUCAUGAUCCUCCUCCAACCUCUUGACUGAUCCAAAUACAAAGCCCUCCAUAUCUGACCACCAGGCAUUACUGGGCUAGAUAAGAAUGGUGCGGCGGUGGAAGCAAUCAUCAUUUUUGGCUGAACUACUUCAUCUGUUAUGCUGGCAAGAUGACAGAGCAACGGAGCAAAAGAUCGUCUUCUUCUCUCCUCGUUCUGAAAUCUCUCCCACCCACCUCCUUGACUUAGUCUUUCCCUCAUGGCUAUAGUCAAUGAUGACAAGAUGAUAGGUGAAGGGGUGGCCCAGGAGGUGAUCAAUUUUUUUUCUCUUUUUGCCCUGUAUUUGCCUGCAUGCACUACAUACGUCGUCAACUAUUUCAGUUGACGA
Molecule: small RNA, 949 nt
Filed under: Cryptococcus neoformans H99
Lineage: Eukaryota; Fungi; Basidiomycota; Tremellomycetes; Tremellales; Cryptococcaceae
Description: Cryptococcus neoformans var. grubii H99 hypothetical RNA
Source: RNAcentral